AAAGAUUGGCCAUAUAAUGAGUCAGUGGUAAUAUCAAGCCUUAAUAUGUUACAGGCACUAGUCUAAGUAAUUUAACCUAUAUUCGUCUCUUCAAUGUUUUUAAUUCCCAAGUGAGGCAAGGAAAGGGAUGGAAGUAUAUUGGACAACUAUGCGCAGGUCACUACACAGGACAUUUUCUAUGCCAAACAGAUGGUCAGCUAGGUUUUUCUUCAUGAAAUUUUGAUGAAGCCAAGUUGACAUGAGAAUGACUUAUUCCUGUAAGGUGUGACUAAUUCCCAAACAAGACUUUUUCAUGAA
Eptesicus fuscus (big brown bat) is the source of this 297-nucleotide long non-coding RNA. RefSeq lists it as uncharacterized. The record is from RefSeq and is a predicted model, not a curated record. The transcript has 3 exons. NCBI's taxonomy places the organism in Eukaryota, Metazoa, Chordata, Mammalia, Chiroptera, Vespertilionidae.